GACGAACGCUGGCGGCGUGCUUAACACAUGCAAGUCGAACGGAAAGGCCUGCUUUCCCUUGUGGAUUGCGGGUGCUCGAGUGGCGAACGGGUGAGUAACACGUGAGUGAUCUGCCCCCAACUUGUGUAUAAGCCUGGGAAACUGGGUCUAAUUCCCGAUAGGACUGCAGGGUGGUGCCUGUGGUGGAAAACGAUUUUCUAGUGGUUGGGGAUGAGCUCGCGGCCUAUCAGCUUGUUGGUGGGGUAAUGGCCUACCAAGGCGGGGACGGGUAGCCGGCCUGGGAGGGUGGACGGGCACAGUGGGACUGAGACACGGCCCAGACUCCUACGGGAGGCAGCAGUGGGGAAUAAUGCACAAUGGGCGGAAGCCUGAUGCAGCGACGCCGCGUGGGGGAUGACGGGCGUCGGGUUGUAGACUCCUUUCGACAGCGAGGAAGCCACCUGGUUGGAAGGGUGGUGACGGUAGUGGUAGAAGAAGCACCGGCUAACUACGUG
RNAcentral lists this ribosomal RNA (494 nucleotides) under uncultured bacterium. RNAcentral describes it as "partial 16S ribosomal RNA". It matches the Rfam family "Bacterial small subunit ribosomal RNA", at positions 28 to 507 of the family's 1533-position model. The record is from RNAcentral.